This 253-nucleotide ribosomal RNA is filed under the name uncultured bacterium. RNAcentral's name for it is "partial 16S ribosomal RNA". It matches the Rfam family "Bacterial small subunit ribosomal RNA", at positions 524 to 776 of the family's 1533-position model. The record is from RNAcentral.
UACGAAGGUCCCAAGCGUUAUCCGGAUUUAUUGGGUUUAAAGGGCGCGUAGGCGGCUUUGUAAGUCAGUGGUGAAAUAUGGCAGCUUAACUGUCAGGGUGCCAUUGAUACUGCGGAGCUUGAGUACAGAUGAGGUAGGCGGAAUUGACGGUGUAGCGGUGAAAUGCUUAGAUAUCGUCAAGAACACCUAUUGCGAAGGCAGCUAACUAAGCUCAAACUGACGCUGAGGCACGAAAGUGUGGGGAGCAAACAGG